RNAcentral lists this non-coding RNA (24 nucleotides) under Arabidopsis thaliana (thale cress). Lineage: Eukaryota; Viridiplantae; Streptophyta; Magnoliopsida; Brassicales; Brassicaceae. The record is from RNAcentral.
UCAAAAUUUAUUGGUCAACUCAAC